RNAcentral lists this ribosomal RNA (492 nucleotides) under uncultured bacterium. RNAcentral's name for it is "partial 16S ribosomal RNA". It matches the Rfam family "Bacterial small subunit ribosomal RNA", at positions 29 to 507 of the family's 1533-position model. The record is from RNAcentral.
AGUGAACGCUGGCGGUAGGCCUAACACAUGCAAGUCGAACGGCAGCACAGUAAGAGCUUGCUCUUACGGGUGGCGAGUGUCGGACGGGUGAGGAAUACAUCGGAAUCUACUUUUUCGUGGGUGAUAACGUAGGGAAACUUACGCUAAUACCGCAUACGACCUACGGGUGAAAGCAGGGGAUCUUCGGACCUUGCACGAUUGAAUGAGCCGAUGUCGGAUUAGCUAGUUGGCGGGGUAAAGGCCCACCAAGGCGACGAUCCGUAGCUGGUCUGAGAGGAUGAUCAGCCACACUGUAACUGAGACACGGUCCAGACUCCUACGGGAGGCAGCAGUGGGGAAUAUUGGACAAUGGGCGCAAGCCUGAUCCAGCCAUACCGCGUGGGUGAAGAAGGCCUUCGGGUUGUAAAGCCCUUUUGUUGGGAAAGAAAAGCAGCAGGUUAAUACCCCGCUGUUCUGACGGUACCCAAAGAAUAAGCACCGGCUAACUUCGUG